RNAcentral lists this ribosomal RNA (253 nucleotides) under uncultured bacterium. RNAcentral's name for it is "partial 16S ribosomal RNA". It matches the Rfam family "Bacterial small subunit ribosomal RNA", at positions 524 to 776 of the family's 1533-position model. The record is from RNAcentral.
UACAGAGGUCUCAACCGUUGUUCGGAUUCAUUGGGCGUAAAGGGUGCGUAGGCGGCGGGGUAAGUCAGGUGUGAAAUCUCGGGGCUCAACCCCGAAACUGCACUUGAUACUGCCUCGCUUGAGUACUGGAGAGGAGACUGGAAUUUACGGUGUAGCAGUGAAAUGCGUAGAUAUCGUAAGGAAGACCAGUGGCGAAGGCGAGUCUCUGGACAGUUACUGACACUGAGGCACGAAGGCCAGGGGAGCAAACGGG